AGAGUGAGAUUUAAAGAACCACAGUCGAAUUUGGUAAAAGAUAGCUAGUGUCUCGUUGUGACUAGGACGGUUAUCCAUAAUUUGCGGUGAAAUUUCGAGUAUAUAGCAUUCAAAUUAUUAAUAUUAAUCUAGUUAAAUUAUUUCUAUUGAUCGAUCCAUCGUAUCUCAUUUCUUAACUUACCGCGUGGAAUGGUCAAUAGGACAAAACUAAAGCCGAUUAUUAAUUGAAUUGUCUAAGCAACGGUUAUUGGCAGUCCAAGUGCCACCACGCAUAGCUAGUAUCGAGGAAAAGGUG
Molecule: long non-coding RNA, 295 nt
Organism: Topomyia yanbarensis
Lineage: Eukaryota; Metazoa; Arthropoda; Insecta; Diptera; Culicidae
Exons: 3
Source: RefSeq, a predicted model, not a curated record